UGGGUUUUAAGGAUGUUGUUCUACACAUUCGACCUAUCCGAUCAUCGGGUACCAUUGCUAGAUGGUCACUUCGAUUGGUAUAAAAAUUUAUUCCUAUACUACCGACUUAGGUUCGGACCUAUAAGGUCACACACAUUAGAGUUUAUGAUCUGAUCGAAUGGUUGAUCAAUGAUUAAGAAUCAUUCUAGGGUUAAACGAUCAAUACGAUUGACAUUUAACCUAGUACAAGUGUUGCAGGAGGAUCGAUUAGCAAUUCGAUUGCUAAUUGACUUAAUUUGAUUAAGCCAAUAGACUGAGAUUAAGUCUAAUUGAAUAUAAUUUAAUUAGAUUUGGUUUG
RNAcentral lists this long non-coding RNA (337 nucleotides) under Elaeis guineensis (African oil palm). RNAcentral describes it as "long non-coding RNA (EGUI_LNC065497)". Lineage: Eukaryota; Viridiplantae; Streptophyta; Magnoliopsida; Arecales; Arecaceae. The record is from RNAcentral.